GCGCCUGUAGCUCAGCUGGAUAGAGCAGCGGACUUCUAAUCCGCAGGCCACAGGUUCGAGUCCUGUCAGGCGCGCCA
Molecule: transfer RNA, 77 nt
Filed under: Deltaproteobacteria bacterium
Lineage: Bacteria; Pseudomonadati; Myxococcota; Myxococcia
Description: tRNA-Arg
Rfam family: tRNA
About the family: Transfer RNA (tRNA) molecules are approximately 80 nucleotides in length. Their secondary structure includes four short double-helical elements and three loops (D, anti-codon, and T loops).
Source: RNAcentral